GGUUGUAUAGUGUAGCGGUCAGCACACCAGAUUCUGAUUCUGGAGACCUGGGUUCGAUUCCCAGUACGACCU
Molecule: transfer RNA, 72 nt
Rfam family: tRNA
About the family: Transfer RNA (tRNA) molecules are approximately 80 nucleotides in length. Their secondary structure includes four short double-helical elements and three loops (D, anti-codon, and T loops).
Source: Rfam